AAGGAAUUAACUCAAUUGGUAGAGUAUCUGUUUUACACACAGAAAGUUAAGCGUUCGAACCGCUUAUUCCUUA
RNAcentral lists this transfer RNA (73 nucleotides) under Sporothrix stenoceras. RNAcentral's name for it is "tRNA-Val". It matches the Rfam family "tRNA". Rfam says of the family: Transfer RNA (tRNA) molecules are approximately 80 nucleotides in length. Their secondary structure includes four short double-helical elements and three loops (D, anti-codon, and T loops). Further hydrogen bonds mediate the characteristic L-shaped molecular structure. tRNAs have two regions of fundamental functional importance: the anti-codon, which is responsible for specific mRNA codon recognition, and the 3' end, to which the tRNAs corresponding amino acid is attached (by aminoacyl-tRNA synthetases). tRNAs cope with the degeneracy of the genetic code in two manners: having more than one tRNA (with a specific anti-codon) for a particular amino acid; and 'wobble' base-pairing, i.e. permitting non-standard base-pairing at the 3rd anti-codon position. The record is from RNAcentral. Lineage: Eukaryota; Fungi; Ascomycota; Sordariomycetes; Ophiostomatales; Ophiostomataceae. RNAcentral also lists the same sequence under 6 other names.